This 301-nucleotide ribosomal RNA is filed under the name uncultured bacterium. Its description in RNAcentral is "partial 16S ribosomal RNA". It matches the Rfam family "Bacterial small subunit ribosomal RNA", at positions 509 to 807 of the family's 1533-position model. The record is from RNAcentral.
CAGUCGCCACGGUAAUGCGUAGGAGGCAAGCGUUGUCCGGAAUUAUUGGGCGUAAAGGGCUCGCAGGCGGUUUCUUAAGUCUGAUGUGAAAGCCCCCGGCUCAACCGGGGAGGGUCAUUGGAAACUGGGAAACUUGAGUGCAGAAGAGGAGAGUGGAAUUCCACGUGUAGCGGUGAAAUGCGUAGAGAUGUGGAGGAACACCAGUGGCGAAGGCGACUCUCUGGUCCGUAACUGACGCUGAGGAGCGAAAGCGUGGGGAGCGAACAGGAUUAGAUACCCGCGUAGUCCCUGUCUCUUAUAC